Molecule: transfer RNA, 73 nt
Filed under: Homarus americanus (American lobster)
Lineage: Eukaryota; Metazoa; Arthropoda; Malacostraca; Decapoda; Nephropidae
Also listed under: 1 other name
Description: tRNA-Val
Source: RNAcentral
GUUUCCGUAGUGUAGCGGUUAUCACGUGCGCCUCACACGCGCAAGGUCCCCGGUUCGACCCCGGGCGGAAACA